Ananas comosus (pineapple) is the source of this 690-nucleotide long non-coding RNA. RefSeq lists it as uncharacterized. The record is from RefSeq and is a predicted model, not a curated record. The transcript has 3 exons. NCBI's taxonomy places the organism in Eukaryota, Viridiplantae, Streptophyta, Magnoliopsida, Poales, Bromeliaceae.
AGCAGCUCUCGGGUUAGCUUUUGUACCGGUACAAGAGUCCGUGUACCGGUACAAGAUGGUAGGUAGAGGGCGAAAUGUGUAAUUUUAUCCCUCGUUUGUACCACCCCUCACUCCCCUCUAUUUAGCUUCGUGUAGAGAGAGAGAGAGAGGUCUUCUAGCUGCAACUCUCCAUCUCUCUCACUCUCCCACCCGGUUGGAAGCAAGGAAGGAGCUUACUUGGAGUUUCGUCGCCGACGUCGCGCCGCGGGAUCGUUCGAGCACGUAUUUGACGCCGGGACUUUGCGAGAAGACCGGGCGAGCGUGCGACUACGCUGUUCUUGACGUCGUGCUGGUGCUUGUCGCUGUCGAGUAUUUCAGCUCGUUCUCGACGUAGGAGCAUCGGAUUGCGACGAGACUUGGCUCUUUGGAUUCAGAACUUCGAGAGGAAUCCACGAAGUCCUUACUUGCUGGAUUUGGUGAAGGUUAGCUUGGUCGAAUCCCUGUUGUACCUCACUGCUGAAAUUCGGGACUGAAACGGUGAUUUAUUGUCGUGUAGAGCUCGAGCGUGGACGAUUUCUGGACUCGGAGCUGUGCGUUUGAUCCAGCAAGUUGCUCUACACCAGUGGGAGUCCUUCGUUGCCAAGGAUUAGCAUUUUAGAGCCACAGGUUCCGGCUGCUGCACCGUCCGCGGAUCAGGAUCGAGGCAAGGGC